UGAGUAAUGUCUGGGAAACUGCCCGAUGGAGGGGGAUAACUACUGGAAACGGUAGCUAAUACCGCAUAACGUCGCAAGACCAAAGUGGGGGACCUUCGGGCCUCACACCAUCGGAUGUGCCCAGAUGGGAUUAGCUAGUAGGUGGGGUAAUGGCUCACCUAGGCGACGAUCCCUAGCUGGUCUGAGAGGAUGACCAGCCACACUGGAACUGAGACACGGUCCAGACUCCUACGGGAGGCAGCAGUGGGGAAUAUUGCACAAUGGGCGCAAGCCUGAUGCAGCCAUGCCGCGUGUAUGAAGAAGGCCUUCGGGUUGUAAAGUACUUUCAGCGGGGAGGAAGGCGGUGAAGUUAAUAGCUUCACCGAUUUGACGUUACCCGCAAAAGAAGCACCGGCUAACUCCGUGCCAGCAGCCGCGGUAAUACGGAGGGUGCAAGCGUUAAUCGGAAUUUACUGGGGCGUAAAGCGCACGCAGGCGGGUCUGUCAAGUCGGAUGGGAAAUCCCCGGGG
This 509-nucleotide ribosomal RNA is filed under the name uncultured bacterium. RNAcentral's name for it is "bacterial SSU rRNA". It matches the Rfam family "Bacterial small subunit ribosomal RNA", at positions 107 to 608 of the family's 1533-position model. The record is from RNAcentral.